RNAcentral lists this ribosomal RNA (484 nucleotides) under uncultured bacterium. RNAcentral's name for it is "partial 16S ribosomal RNA". It matches the Rfam family "Bacterial small subunit ribosomal RNA", at positions 30 to 507 of the family's 1533-position model. The record is from RNAcentral.
AUUGGACGCUAGCGGGAUGCUUUACACAUGCAAGUCGAACGGCAGCGCGGACUUCGGUCUGGCGGCGAGUGGCGAACGGGUGAGUAAUGUAUCGGAACGUGCCCAGUAGCGGGGGAUAACUACGCGAAAGCGUAGCUAAUACCGCAUACGCCCUACGGGGGAAAGCAGGGGAUCGUAAGACCUUGCACUAUUGGAGCGGCCGAUAUCGGAUUAGCUAGUUGGUGAGGUAACGGCUCACCAAGGCGACGAUCCGUAGCUGGUUUGAGAGGACGACCAGCCACACUGGGACUGAGACACGGCCCAGACUCCUACGGGAGGCAGCAGUGGGGAAUUUUGGACAAUGGGGGCAACCCUGAUCCAGCCAUCCCGCGUGUGCGAUGAAGGCCUUCGGGUUGUAAAGCACUUUUGGCAGGAAAGAAACGUCGCGGGCUAAUACCCCGUGGAACUGACGGUACCUGCAGAAUAAGCACCGGCUAACUACGUG